ACGAAUCAAACCGACCGUCGAAUUGCACCAAAACGCACCAUUUGAAACUGAACCACACGAACUUUCGAUCCGGUUCUUCUCAACAUAAACAGUUCGAAUAGUUGUCUGGUGGCUCCAAUCCGAUUAACUUCAGUUAACCAAACCGAACCGUUUCAGUAAAAUUUUAAAAAAUUUACCCCAACCCUACCCCUCCCUUACAUGACGGCAUUUCAACUUUAGCUCACCCCCUCACAGUCUUUCUUCGGUUUCGAACCCUGUGAGACAGACGCAAUAGAGAAUCAGAGGAGCAAAGCAAGCCCUAGCUGCUACUCCUCAGUGCUCUGAACCUUGUCAACGCCGAUGGCGAGUCCCACCGUCCCUCCGACCCCCACCCCGACGACGACCCCUUCUGUUCUUUUUCUUCUUCAAAGGGGACAUGGAGAAGUUGAAGGUCGACCAGAUCGUUGACACGACAUCCCGGGAGGCCAAUUUCUGGCCCGAGAGGUGGAUCAUUGUCUCGGUCUUGAGCUCGCUGUCAGAUACGCUCUGGAGCCUCAUCAGGAUCGAGGGCUGGCAGGCCUCGCCGUAAGUAACUCGAAAACCCCCUCCAAUUGGAGACUCUAAGGUGCGAUUUUUCUGUCCUUAGAGCAGCAUGCAAGUUUAGGGUUCCGUGUCAUAGAUUACUUAAGAUGCAAGAGAUGUCGAGAUGAUGGAGAAGUUGAAGAUCGAGCAAUCGUUGGCUUCUACUGAGGCAGGAGGAUGAGGAAGGGAGUGAGAACUGGAAGAAAGCGCCACUGGGCUUAUAUUUAGCGGGGCUGAAAGCAAAAAGAAGAAAUAUUUUUGUAAAAGCCAUUAACCGAAUCUUAAGAACCGGCUCUAUUGGACCCGGUUCGAAGGCCUUCAAGUAGUUUGGUUCGGACCAGUACUCCCAUAACCGAACCGAACUAAUUUUUUGAAUACCAUGCAACUAAUUCAGUCGAGCUGGAUUGGUUUGUUAAGUGAGAAAGCUCUCAUAGUGUGGAUCAUUUUCAUCCUCGAACUCGGGAGCUUACUUAAAGAAUAAGCGUCAAACCAUUUGAAUCAAUCCGAUAAAUUAAUUAUUUAUUUACUCUUCUCUUAACUCAAAAAAAUUAAGAAGGAAAUUGAAACCCCUCAGGUAGAGCACGAGUUUAAUUAAAAUAAAUCACCAUCUUGUUGUUAAGAAGCAAAUUUAUCUUCGAAUAUGGACAUUUACUCUAAUUAAGGAAAAUCCUGCGGUAUAACACUCCAUGUGUGUUGCAUCAUACAACACUUUAUUUUAUGGUUCUUUAGCUUUUUAAAAUUAGAUUUUAGCCCCAUAACGUUUUGUCAGUUUAUGAUUUCAUUCCAAAUUUGGUUUAAUAACAUGGACCAGUUAUAUAUGAUGCCAUGUGCAUUGUCCAACCCAACGACUUUUACUCGUCGUUUACUAAAACAAAGAGCCGGAUGAAUUAUAUGUUUAUACUCCAACCCGCAGCUCGAACCACAGUCACAGGAAUAGGCGCUAACGCCAACUGGCACAGCAGCCACUAGCUGCACGACGGUAUCUGACCGAGGUUCAAUCAUCUUCCAUCAUUGGCCAAUUGAUAUGGAGUGAAAUUAUCAUCAUAUCCUGAUGAACUCAGUCGCAAAGUCGCCACGCAACGGCAACCUCCGCCGGAGCUCUGUUGUCCACGUUACCUAAGACAUAGCGGCAUCCACAUUGUAAUUAAAGGAAUACCAUGACGACAAAAGUAAAUCUUUUGAAUAGGAGAAUUGUUGGAAUUGAAUCUAAUCAUAUAUGUAUGCUAAUAUCUGAACAAUUUAGGUCGACUGCUUUAUUACUUUUAUAUGUGGUUAAUUAAUCUUUUAUGCCCUAAAGUGUCUGCACCGACAGUGGAAUGCAAAUGUUUUGACAUGAGACUCUUUAAGUAGCAGAAACCCAAGUUGAAGUAACGUCUAGUGAGACGUUGGAAGCUCAAAUAAUUGAAUA
Non-coding RNA from Punica granatum (pomegranate), 1969 nucleotides. The record is from RefSeq and is a predicted model, not a curated record. NCBI's taxonomy places the organism in Eukaryota, Viridiplantae, Streptophyta, Magnoliopsida, Myrtales, Lythraceae.